Molecule: ribosomal RNA, 433 nt
Filed under: uncultured bacterium
Lineage: Bacteria
Description: partial 16S ribosomal RNA
Rfam family: Bacterial small subunit ribosomal RNA
Source: RNAcentral
AACGAACGCUGGCGGCAUGCCUAACACAUGCAAGUCGAACGAGACCUUCGGGUCUAGUGGCUCAUGGGUGCGUAACGCGUGGGACCCUGCCCGUAGGUUUGGAAUAACUCCCCGACAGGGGUGCUAAUACCGGAUAAUGUCUUCUGACAAAAGAUAUAUCGUCUUUGGAUGGGCCCGCGUUCGUUUAGCUGGUUGGUAGGGUAAAAGCCUACCAAGGCGACGAUCCUUAGCUGGUCUGAGAGGAUGAUCAGCCACACUGGGACUGGGACACGGCCCGGACUACUGCGGGAGGGAGCAGUGGGGAAUAUUGGACAAUGGGCGAAAGCAUGAUGCAGCAAUGCCGCGUGAGUGAUGAAGGCGUUAGGGUUGUAAAGCUCUUUUACCCGGGAUGAUAAUGACAGUACCGGAAGAAUAAGCACCGGCUAACUCCGUG